Molecule: ribosomal RNA, 468 nt
Filed under: uncultured bacterium
Lineage: Bacteria
Description: partial 16S ribosomal RNA
Rfam family: Bacterial small subunit ribosomal RNA
Source: RNAcentral
GAUGAACGCUGGCGGCGUGCCUAACACAUGCAAGUCGAACGGAAAGGCCCUGCGUUUGUUCGGUGCUCGAUUGGCGAACGGGUGAGUAACACGUGUGUAACCUGCCCUUGACUUUCGGAUAACUUCACGAAACUGGGGCUAAUAUCGGAUAGGAUCUCCUGCUGCAUGGUGGGGGUUGGAAAGUUUCGGCUUUUGGGGAUGGACUCGCGGCUUAUCAGCUUGCUAGUGGGGUAGUCGCUUACCAAGCCUUUGACGGCUAGGCGGCAUGAGAGGGUGAACAGGCACAAUGGGACUGCGAUACGGAGCAGACUCCUACGGGAGGCAGCAGGCGAGAAUAUUGCACAAUGGGCGGGAGUGUGAUGCAGCAACGUCGGGUGCGGGAUGACGGCCUUCGGGUUAUGAACCGAUUUCGACUGUGACGAAGCGUGAGUGACGGUAAUGAGUAAAGAAGCACCGGCUAACUACGUG